This is a long non-coding RNA of Artibeus jamaicensis (Jamaican fruit-eating bat), 3899 nucleotides long. RefSeq lists it as uncharacterized. The record is from RefSeq and is a predicted model, not a curated record. Lineage: Eukaryota; Metazoa; Chordata; Mammalia; Chiroptera; Phyllostomidae. The transcript is spliced from 3 exons.
UGGCCAGGCGGAGAGGCCGUUGGUCUGGUCACGCUGGGUGGGGCUCGGAUUUGUGUGGUGGUGGCGUGUGUGAGGGGGCAUUCAAGAAAAGAGGCGGAGUCCCACGCUGUGUCUCCUCGUCUGUGUAACAGAGGGAGCAGUAAAAGGAGAAACCUCGGAAACUGCUGAGCAGUGACCAGCCAGCGACCCGGCAACGCGUGGGAGGCCCUGGGACUUGAGGCAGAGGUCGGGGUGGCGGUGCGUCCAGGUGAGAGGAAAGGCGCCUCCUCAGACUGGUCCGAGGGCAGGGGAGGGGCGGGCAGUCCGGGCGCACGAGGCCCCCACUGCUCGUUGCUGACUCCAGUCCCGGACCCUCCGACUCUCCUGAGACUGUCUCCUCUUGUUACCGUGGGAUAAAGACUGUGCCUGCCCCAGGACUGCCAUGAGCAGCCUCUGAGCUAACCGGCAAAAGACACCGAGUGCAGAGCUGGGCACUUAGAGACCGCCAUUCACGGAAGCUCACCUGUUGUGGAAGAAGAGGUUGGUGACGCGCUGGGGUCUUCCUCCCCUACCACCAGGAGUGCCCUCCACCCCCUCUCCCUGUCCUGGCUCCUCCGCCUUUCCUCUCUACCCUGCUUCCCCCACUUCCUCUGUCUGUCGUUUCUCUAGCACACCAGGCUCGUGGUCACCACAGGACCUUUGCACUUGCUGUUUCCUCUGUCUGCAGUUCUGGCCUCCCAGAUGACUGCUAACUGACUCUUGCUUCUUGGGUCUUAGCAUUGAUGUCACCUCCUCUGGGACAGUUUGCCUGACCGCCCCAGUGGACAUAUCCCUGGUGAAGCCACUGUUACCUUUCACUGUUCUAAUUUUCCACACAGCGCUCGAUAGGUGAUGACUUUGUUUACUUGUUUGUUAGGUGUCUUCCUUCUCUCCCCCAGGCUGUGAGCCUCGGGUGGGUGGGCACCUUGUCUGUCUUGCUCUCCACGUCCUCAGUGGCUGGCAGCACGUGGUAGGCGCACCACACAGAGCCCUGCUUUCAUGGAGUUCACAGUUUAAUAAGUGAGGCAGAUUGAACAAGCAAACACAUGUUUUGAUACAUAUUUUUAAUUAUGGUAAGUUGCCCAUAACAGGGAAGUUACUGUGCUAACCACCUGGAGUGUGUGGUUCAGUGGCAUUAAGUACAUCACAUUGCCGUAUGGCCGUCUCCACUGCGCAUGUCCAGAACUCUCUGUUGUCCCGAACCGGUGCUCUGCACCCGUCAGACAGUAGCUCCUCAUUCCCCUCCACCCCCAGCCCCAGGCACCCACCAUGCUACUUGUCUCUGUGAAUUUUUACAUUUUAUUUAUUUAUUUAUAGAGAAAGGGGAAAGGAGGGAGAAAGAGAGGGAGAGAAACAUCAAUGUGUGCUUGCCUCUUGAAUGGCCCCCGCCCCCAGGAACCUGGCCUGCAACCCAGGCAUGUGCCCUGACUGGGACUUGAACCAGAGACCCUUUGGUUCACAGGCUGCUGCUCAAUCCACUGAGCCACACCAGCCAGGGCGUAGAUCUGUUUUUUGAGGAAGCACCAUACUCUUUUCUACAGUGACUGUACCCUUUUACACCAGUAAUGCACAAUUUCUCCACAUCCUUACCAACACUUGUUAUCUUCCGUUUUAUUUUCUUUGUAGUUUUAGAGCAGUCCUCCUAAUGAGUGCAAAGUGCUGUCUCACUGGGGAUUUAAUUUGUGUCUCUCUAACGACCAGGACACGAAUUUUUGAAGAAAACCUGUUUCUGGAGAAUGGAGGACAGGGGGCCUCUUGACUCCGGUAGUCCGGAAGGUCCAGAAGGUGGUCUGGAAGGAGAUGGCAUUUAAACUGAGGCCUGUGAGAAGGGCAGGUGGCUGACAGAGGGUGAUCUGGAGGAGCAACAUUUCAGCAAGAGGGAACACUGAGGGCAGGGCACCUGAAGGGUGAGUGAGAGCUGCCUAUUUUAGCUGGAGAACUAGUGAAGAGUGGCCAGGGGGCUGGUGGCCAGAGGCGUGGCCCAAAGGGUAGGCAGGGCUGGAUGAUCCACGGCUUUUGGCCACAGAAAGGAGUUUGUGUUUGCAAUAUAUCCUGUCUUCAGGUUGUGGGCAUGAGGGGGCAGAGGGAAGACUCAGGGAGUGAGGGAUAGAUGCACAGAAAAACAGCAUGGUAUGUAGCCAUGUGUGCGAGGGACAGUGUGUCCCUACAGGCAACCGGUGUGUUUAGGUGUGUGCAUGUGUGCACAUGGGGACCUGUACUGUGAGUGUGUAUGUGUGUGUGCCUGUAUGGACACCCCCAAAAGCCUCAGAUUGUUAUUUGAUCUCUCUGAGGAACAUGCUGUACCCAUUUCCCACCAGCCCACAAUGGCCACCCAGGCGGGGCAGGUGAAGUGUUGCUUCCUAGGUUCCUACAACAGAUCUGGAACUGGCAAGAAGGAUCUGGAGGCAUGCCUAGGUUCAGGCUGGUCUCUGAGAAAGAUGACCCGUCUUUGAAGGUUUGGAAACAAGGGCUUGCACGUCUAAGACCAGGAGAUGACUCCACACCCUACCUUUGCAAGACCACAGCGACACCUUGGCCACUGGUGAGGGCCCCCACCGGCAAUGGAGGUAUGUGCCCUGACCAGGAGUCAAACCUGUGGCCUUUCGGUUGAGAGGACAGCGUUCCAACUAACUGAGCCACACCGGCCAGGACUGAAAAUUCACCCUUGAGUUGCUGUAGGAGACCCCAGAGACUCUCAGUCCAUUCUCUUGGUCAAGAAAACUCCUCUCUAACCUUUCUGACAGUCAGCUGCCCAUCUUGCUUGCACACCUCAUGUAAAGGGGAGCUCACUACCUUGAAAUGCAGCCUGUUCUGUUGUAGGAUAGCUCCUUCUAGUGAGACCAAACUGGCCUUCCUGUGCUAUCCAGCUGUUGAAACUAGCUCAGAGCACAAAGCAGCUCCUCAGCCUUUUCCACGCAGGCCCCUGCGGGUGGCAGAGAGGGCCGUACCCUCCCAACCCACACCUGCCUUCUCUCCAACAUAAAUGGUCCACCUGGUUCCCCAUAAACAACCUUUCCAGCCCUUCAUCUCCUGAGCAGGGUAUUCUCUGUGGUGGCUAUUUUUGUCUCCUUUUACAGAGAACAUGAAUCUAGCCACCACUCAGAACUUACAACUUAGGCUGAUAUUAUAGUUACUGUAUCACUGUCUCUGGGUCCCCCCUUCAUCCAUUGGUUCAUUUUUGGGGUAUGUUUCAAAGUAAGUUGCCGUUAACAGUGCAGUUCGCCCUCAACCACUUCAGCAUGUAUCUCACUGACUAGAGGUGAAUGUUUGCGUGUGGCCCUUUGCUUUUUUGAGGCAAUAUUUAUACAUAAUGAAAUGCACAAGCUGUCAGUAUACUAUCGGUUGAGUUUUGGUAAGUGUGUAUACUUGUACACGCCAACUCCCAUCAAGCUAUAGAAUGUUUCCAUCACUACAGAAAGUUUCCCAGUCGCCCCUGUCCCCACUGAUUUCUUUCCAUCAUGGUCCAUUCUAGAACUUCAUAAAAACGGAAUCCUGCACCAUCUACUCUUGUUGUGUCUGGUUUAUUUCAUUCACCAUAAUGUUUGGAGAUUCAUUAGUACUUUAUUCCUUUUUACUGCCAAGGAGAAUUCCGUCAUAUGAACGUGUAACAGUUUGUUAAUCCAUUUGCCUCCGGAUGGACACCUUGAGCUGUUUCCCACAGACAGAUAAAUAGAUGGAUGGACGCCCAGCCAGGUCUCCCUGCCCCGAAUGUGUACAGUUGUUUUGUUGGAACCUCAGUGUCAACUUUUCCACUGGUCCUCAUUAAAUUCCAUCUUGUUGGUUUUGACUUAACCCUCCCGCUGGUCCUGAUGUGAUGAGAGUAGCAAACUCACAUACACUCACCAUGUGCCAGACACUGGGCUAACCCGUUCAGACUUCAG